UACAGAGGUCUCAAGCGUUGUUCGGAUUCAUUGGGCGUAAAGGGUGCGUAGGCGGCGGAGCAAGUCUGAUGUGAAAUCCCGGGGCUCAACCCCGGAACUGCCUUUGAUACUGGGUAUCUCGAGUCCGAGAGAGGUGAGUGGAAUUCCGAGUGUAGAGGUGAAAUUCGUAGAUAUUGGGUGGAACACCGGUGGCGAAAGCGGCUCACUGGCUCGGUUCUGACGCUGAGGCGCGAAAGCGUGGGGAGCAAACAGG
Molecule: ribosomal RNA, 253 nt
Filed under: uncultured bacterium
Lineage: Bacteria
Description: partial 16S ribosomal RNA
Rfam family: Bacterial small subunit ribosomal RNA
Source: RNAcentral